UCUCACAGAUUUCCAAUCUUCUUUCUCUCUCGCUACCACUUUCUCUCUUCUAUUUACUACUCUUUCCCUUUCUUACUAGCCACGCACCCUUCACCCCUCAAAGCACACGUGCCACCACAGAUUUUCCACCACCACGCUCCGUCUCUCUCUCAAAGCUACGUUUCCCCUUCCCGUCGGCCACCCCUACCAACGCUCGAUUCACCCCCAUCGAGCUUUCUCCCCUCCAAUGCCAUCCUUUCUCUCGCAAUCCAACCUCGCCACCGCCGCCUCUCACCGAUCUUUUCUCUCGUUUCAUCCCUUUCGAGUACACCCGAACCGAUCGUCGAUCUCCGUCUCGUCGGUGGUCGCGCUGUCUGUCGCCGACACCGUGCAGCGCGACCAGUUAGUCCGGUUGCCUACCUCGGGCGCUGUUGACAGCCACCCUUGUACGCGAGAAAAUUCUUCCCGAUGCCAGCCGCGUUACCACCACUGUCUCUUCCACGAUAGUGGCAAGAGAUAUCGCGAUAGUGGCCGUCUUCCUCCCACGAGAAACUGCCGAUAGAAUUUCAACGUGGUAUCGUUGUGUGUCGUUUCUAGAUAAAACAAUCUUAUAUUAUUUUUACCAGUGCACCGCGAAAAACGUGAAGUCGAGUAGUGAUCCGUUGGUAAACCGCGUACGUACGUGUUUGAGAGUCCAAGUGUUUGUUCGUUUCGUUAUGCGUUUAAGCUGUUGGUCCCGCUCGAUUGCCGAGCAGCUAGAACGGGAUCAAAAGUAAGGCUAAAUAGGAAGGGGAUAGGAACGGCGAGUUUAGAAGGUCGAGGGGAAGGAUGACGAAGCGGAGGACGAGUAACGUGGGAUCAUGGUGGUGAAUGAUAGUGGUGGAGAAGCAGUAAAACCAGAAGCAGUAAAAACGGAACGGCGGAAGCCAGUGCUUUUGGCAUGAACGAGAAGGAAAACAGUCUCGAUGAGGCUCGCGGUCGCGGCGAUGCUUAUAGACGUGACGUGACUGUCUCGCUGUACCAACGCUCGUACUGUUCACGCUUAAUCCUACUCGUGAUAUUAGUGAUUCUUAUGACGAUGUGCGUGCUCGAUUCACCAUGCUGUGUCACCGUGACAGCGUAACGCACGUUUAAAAAGAUACAGCGAAUGUUUUACCCUAGAAAGUAGAAUUCAAGGAGAUUGAACAAUGAAAUAAUGGAGUAGUGAUCUAGCGUUCUGGUCAGACAGUAACGAUAGAACGUAUUUGUCAGACGGACAAUUGUCCAAGCGGUUGCUUCGAACACUGUAAUCCGUAAUCAAACUGGUCCUAAUCAAUCUAUUAACACAGAGGCAACACAAUCCCCUAACCCAGUGAACAGAGACCGCUCGCUGUAAACUAUCGGCCGGGAAUCGUCACCGGCGAUUGCGAAAGAAUCGAUAGAAAGAGAGGAGCAAAAAGGAGAAGAAAGAAACGCGGCGGUCGAGGGAAGAAGAGAGAAAAGGGAGAUAUAUAGAACCUCUCCCGAUUGGCCGAGAAGUUACAAUAGACCGCUACCACUGUCGGGGGGCUCGCGUGACACGCGCCGUUUCUCACUCUGCACAUUUGCUCGUCCACCUCGACGCGGAGGAAGCUCUCCCGAUCUCGAUAAACACACACGCACACACACCAACACACACACAUACACUCACACGACACGUACACGCACACACGCCUCCCGCUUCCAUUCUCCACCCGGACGGUAUAAUCCUUAACGACGAGGACACGCGUACCAGGGAGGCACCGAUAGUAUGACGGUGAUGCUGCUGCAACGUUCAGUCACCCCGCAGUCGACGCACAGCCAAAAGACAGCGAACAAGGACUGCAACGCGAAGCCACCCUUCUUAUUCCUGCUCGACGACUGUCAAGAGCACAGCCACUCCAUUGACACUACCAUCACCACCACGACAACCAACAACAACAACAACAACAACAACAACAACAACAUUAACAUUAACAAUAACAAUAACAAUAAGAACGACGACAUACUUAAAGGAGGUAGCAGAAGAGACAGCAAUCGUUCGUGCGCCGCCGACGAGGCGGCGGCGUCGGUGACGUCCCAAAGACGCGCCGAGUGUGGCCAGGACGUCGCGAUGCGAUAUUACCGGCUCUGGAUCUACACCUGUAACUUGGUGCUGCUCGGUAGCGCGCUAGGCUUCGCGGCCGCGGUCUCACGAACGCUUUUAUUCACCGGUGAUCCACGCCGGUACGUGGUGCCUGGGGUGCCCCGUGCAUACGACCCGACAGCCCUCUACGCUUACCUGGCAUUGGCCACGCAGUUGGGCUUGGUGCAAUUGUUGGGUUGUAUAGCGGCGAGGAGAUUGAGCGCAAGACUUCUCAACGCCUACUGGGUCCUGCUUCUGGCGCUUCUUUUCGGCGACGCCGUGAUCGGGGUCGCCUGGGUCUUCCGGUUUGAGAGGAUGCGCGCCGAGCUCAGGCCUACUCUCAGGCAACGAUUGCAGAUGGAGUACGGGAAGGAUCUACGAUUCAGCGAGCAAUGGGACCGUUUGCAGAAGGAGUUCACCUGCUGCGGUGUGACCGGCCCCAAGGAUUUCGGUGGCCGAUGGCCGCUCACCUGUUGCGGACCAUCUGGCAACGUUAGCGACAGUUGUCAACCGUACGUGAGAGGAUGCGAGGAAUCGUUGAUACGAUGGCUACGAAAAACCGCUGACUUGCUGUUCGUUUUGGGCUUCUGCGUGAUAGCGUUCGCCAAAUUGUGUUUCCUCGGUAUACUGCGUUACGAGAUAAGGGAGAUGAUACAGAAGAUACGAUUGUUAAGGGAGCCACCGCCGCCGGCGACCACCCUCGCGCAACCACCAUUCUCUCAAGUGAUACCGGAAGCGACCAACAACGGGAGCAUCGUUCGACGCACCACUCUGCCUAACGCUGUCACCCCUUCCGGAAAUGCAUCGUUGUUGAUUCAAACGGAGGAAUGCAACACCGGAAGGCAUCCUUUGUUGGCGAACAAUUUGCAGGAUGGUGGGGCGGACAGCGACACGAACAGUCAUUGCGCGCUGAUCCUCGAGGAAACAACGCCUACCUCGGCCAACCAUAAUUGCGGUAACAGAGAGAAAAGCAAUGGCAACAACAAUUACGAAAUGCGAGAAUUCAACAGGAGGCUGUGGUUGUCGAACGGCGGCAGCCCGGGUACGGGUAUAACAGCCGGUGGUCAAAGCAGGCGCACCUGACUAUGGAAGUGGUGGCGAAACACGUCGAACCGUCUCCUCUACAGGAGCAAUCGGUCUGCCGAGAUCACCGUGUAUAAGAUAGGUCCACAAACCGGAGCUAAGGUUUCUAAAGAUUCUACUGACCUCACGAGCACACCAGCCCACAAUAAGCGAAUAACGUUCAAAGUUUUGCGCGUUGCAAGAAAAAUGUAUCGUUAAUCCUCGUAUAUUAUCGAAUAAAAUACGCUCUGGAUCCUGUUAGUCGACGAUAGAAAUUUAUUUACAAGAUGAAACUGUUUAGACUAGUGUUAUAAUUUUAUCCGUAUUCUCGGCUUCGUUUCUUCGAAGUCACCACGUAUUAAGUGGAAUUCACUAAAUAAAUGAGAUUUUAAAGAUACAUUUUCCUCGUGACAUCAUACAUAGUGCAAAGUCUGCAUGAUAAUGCUAUUCGAAGUGCUGAUGAACAAAAUAAAUUUCUUUUUUGCGUAACGACACAUAACGGACGAUGAAACGAGAAUCGACAUGAACAAAUUACAAGGAAGAACGAACUAAGAAAUCAAUGGGAUAAAACAAAAAAAAAGAAAAAGAAAAAAAAACAAACAAAAAUUAUGAAAAAGAGAAAAAAAGUGAAAAAGAAAGCAGAAGUGCGUCGAAGCUGCAUAAAAGGAAAGAAGAAGGUCUGUGAAUGCCUUUCGGUAUCCUUUCGAUUCUCUUUCUACGCGUAUUCCUUACAUGUCUUUCCGUCCUCGUACGGUCGGUGAACAAACAAAAAAAAAAAAAAGAAAAAAGAAGAAAAUAAUCAAUUACUUUUGUAGAUUUAUUUUUAGCAGUAAGUUUUCCUAUACGAAACUAUUUCUCUUUAAAUCGAACUAAAGAACGUUUCAAACACGUUAUAUACUAAUUUUUACCGCGCGAAUCAUGUGUAGUAUAUCACAAUAUGUAAAAUAUAACUAUCGUCGCUAUUACAUAAAUGCGAUAUCUUUCUGCUAUUUGGUUCCUAUUUUAAUUAAAAAAUUUUAACAUUAUCAUAUUUAUCGCGAAUUCAAUUAAUAGAAAUUAUGCUCCAAUUUUCACUGUUUCCAAUAUAAAAAUUGAAAUACAAUUCAAUAAAACAUAUAAAAAAACGACAAAAAUUGUUUAGUUAUUCGAACACGAUUGGAUUAAAUCACGAGAAAUAGAGUAUAAUAUAUUGCUUGUGACCAAAUUUUUUUAUCAUAAAUUACGAUAACAAUGAAAUGUGUGAAAGGUUAAUCGGUUUUUAUCAUGUGAAUGUUUUUUUAAUUUAUUUCAUUCUCGAGAAUUAAAAUGCGAUAGUUAUCGGAGAAUAUUCUGGGAUACUACUGUCAAAUUUAUUCUUCUUCUGCAAAAAUAUGAUUAUAAAAAAAAAAGAAAGGAAAAAAAGAAAUAGAAAAUCUGUCUUGUUUCGAUGAUCUACGUAUAUUAAUGAUUUUAUAUACAUAUAUAUAUAUAUAUAUAAUUAUAUAUAAAAAGUAUAUAUAUUUAUAUGUAUAUAUAUAUAAAAAAAAAGAAAAAAGAAAAAAAAAGAAAAAAAAACACAUAUGUAUAUAUGUAGUAGAUAUAUAUGUGUUUUUAUAUACACAAAAAGACAAACACACAAGUCACCGCAUAAGAGUAACGACUAUAAAUUCCUAGUUCUUUUUAUAUAAAACGAUACAUGCAGCGCGAGUAGUCUGUAUUGAUUUGUGCAGUAAGUCGUAUAAAUAUAAUACGAUACUCAAAGUAAUUGGCUUCCUAGCUAGGAUUAAUCGAAUCUUAGGGAUUAUAUACGUUUAUGAAUGCAAAGAUAAUGAAUAUACGUAUUAGUAGAACUGUAUAUAGCGAUGUAUGGUAGUCAAAUACUAAGUAUCGAUUGUCUGUUUAAGAAAAAAGCCAGAAUUCACAUGAUUCAAUGUCGAAAUAUCGUUUCGUUUACUUUUGCAUAGAAUAACGAGAAUAUUAAUUAAAUCAUGAGAUUAUACGAGUUAACACGAUUCAUCAUUAAACUUCAGAUUUUAUAUUUUAUCUUUUUCAUAAUUAUAUCAGUCUGGAAAACAGGGUAUUCUCUAGUAUGUUAUAAAGCAUAGAUUACUAUCAAAGAAAUCAUUAUUACAUUCAUUAACGCCAAUGAGAUGCCAUUUUUCAAUACAUAUGUUCCUUUUUUUAGUUCAUAUCAUAAUUUUUAAUCAUUAUAAAAAAAAAAAAAAAAAAAGAUAAAAAUUGCAUUUCAAGGAUUCUUUCUUAAUCAGACUAUCGAUAUUAUCGUUGAAUGUACUAAGCUACAAUAAUAAUAUAAAAGCUUACACCUCGCAGACAUACAGCCUCUGCCACUAAAUGUAUAUAAGGAUAUAUUAUAUGUAAAACAAAUAAUAGAUAGUGUUAAUUGAUUUUUAAAUUGAUCAUUUAGAAAGAGGCAAAUAUGUUACUGCAAGCCGCCCAGAAGUGAAGAUCUACACGCUACUUUUAAUUAGAAUAAGCUUUAAAACUUUUAACUAAAAAGGGACGAUAUUAUUUUUCAUGUUUUAAUUCGUUCCUUUGAUUCGUUCAAUCGUCAAAUAGUUAAAUUAAAAAAGUUCAUAUCUCUAUGUUUUAGUCAUACAAUGUAUCCCGACAACAAUGAAUUAUGAUCCCAUAAGAAAGGUUUUAAAAAAGUUUAACAUGUGUAGUAAUUUAUAUCUGAUGUUUAAAUGUAAUAUGUAUAUUGAGAAGAAUGAAAGAGAGGGAGCUUUGAAUAGUGCCUGCUUAAGAAAUCCAAUUUACUGUAUCUGUAAAUGGUUAGUUAUGAUAUGUACGUUAUUUCGUACACGGUAAACCCAAUAGGAUUACUAUAGCCAAGUAUGGGAAAAAGUGUAAAUAUAGAAUCAGUUCAUUAGUUUUAUAAUUGUGCAUAUUAUUAUACAAAAUGGAAAACGCUUAUAUCUUCAAAUAGAUUUUUUUUUCAAUUUUUUGGAAAAAUUCUUAUAAAUACGUUUUAAAUUGAUACAUUAAGAAUAUAUAUUUAAACAAUUCAAAGAAAUUUAAUUUAAAAAAAAUAUUCCUUUUCAAAAUGUUCUAUCUUAUAUUUUUCUUAUAUAUACUGCAUAAUUUUUUAACUUUUACUUUAAUCAUGUUUUAUAAUUUUAGUGAUUCAUGCUAUUAUAUCAUAUCACUCUUCCCCAUACUAUAUUAUAAGUUCAUGUUAUUCAAUAUUCUUAAAUGUACAUAAAACUUAUGUGGUCGUAAUUGUAUGUAAAUACUGUUAAACGUUCUAUAACUUCUCUGAUAUAUGAAUAUAAGAAAAAUUGGUUAUUUAGUAUAA
RNA transcript from Apis cerana (Asiatic honeybee), 6458 nucleotides. RefSeq lists it as uncharacterized. Lineage: Eukaryota; Metazoa; Arthropoda; Insecta; Hymenoptera; Apidae. The record is from RefSeq and is a predicted model, not a curated record.